UACGAGGGGUGCAAGCGUUGCUCGGAAUUAUUGGGCGUAAAGGGUAGGUAGGUGGUCUCGUUUGUCUGGGGUGAAAGCCUUGAGCUUAACUCAAGAAGUGCCCUAGAAACGGCGAGACUAGAGUCUUGGAGAGGGUCGUGGAAUUCCCGGUGUAGCGGUGAAAUGCGUAGAUAUCAGGAGGAAUACCGGUGGGGUAGACGGCUCUCUGGACCGCCACUGACGCUGAGACACGAAAGCGUGGGUAGCAAACAGG
This 253-nucleotide ribosomal RNA is filed under the name uncultured bacterium. RNAcentral's name for it is "partial 16S ribosomal RNA". It matches the Rfam family "Bacterial small subunit ribosomal RNA", at positions 524 to 776 of the family's 1533-position model. The record is from RNAcentral.